Molecule: ribosomal RNA, 406 nt
Filed under: uncultured bacterium
Lineage: Bacteria
Description: partial 16S ribosomal RNA
Rfam family: Bacterial small subunit ribosomal RNA
Source: RNAcentral
AUUGAACGCUGGCGGCAGGCCUAACACAUGCAAGUCGAGCGAGCGGCGGACGGGUGAGUAAUGUAUGGGGAUCUGCCCGAUAGAGGGGGAUAACUACUGGAAACGGUGGCUAAUACCGCAUACCAUCAGAUGUGCCCAGAUGGGAUUAGCUAGUAGGUGGGGUAAUGGCUCACCUAGGCGACGAUCCCUAGCUGGUCUGAGAGGAUGACCAGCCACACUGGAACUGAGACACGGUCCAGACUCCUACGGGAGGCAGCAGUGGGGAAUAUUGGACAAGGGGCGAAAGCCUGAUCCAGCCAUGCCGCGUGUGUGAAGAAGGUCUUCGGAUUGUAAAGCACUUUAAGUUGGGAGGCGUUACCAACAGAAUAAGCACCGGCUAACUUCGUGCCAGCAGCCGCGGUAAUAC